RNAcentral lists this ribosomal RNA (468 nucleotides) under uncultured bacterium. RNAcentral's name for it is "partial 16S ribosomal RNA". It matches the Rfam family "Bacterial small subunit ribosomal RNA", at positions 28 to 507 of the family's 1533-position model. The record is from RNAcentral.
GACGAACGCUGGCGGCGUGCUUAACACAUGCAAGUCGAACGGAAAGGCCCUGCUUUUGUGGGGUGCUCGAGUGGCGAACGGGUGAGUAACACGUGAGUAACCUGCCCUUGACUUUGGGAUAACUUCAGGAAACUGGGGCUAAUACCGGAUAGGAGCUCCUGCUGCAUGGUGGGGGUUGGAGAGUUUCGGCGGUUGGGGAUGGACUCGCGGCUUAUCAGCUUGUUGGUGGGGUAGUGGCUUACCAAGGCUUUGACGGGUAGCCGGCCUGAGAGGGUGACCGGCCACAUUGGGACUGAGAUACGGCCCAGACUCCUACGGGAGGCAGCAGGGGGGAAUAUUGCACAAUGGGCGGAAGCCUGAUGCAGCAACGCCGCGGGCGGGAUGACGGCCUUCGGGUUGUAAACCGCUUUCGCCUGUGACGAAGCGUGAGUGACGGUAAUGGGUAAAGAAGCACCGGCUAACUACGUG